Molecule: long non-coding RNA, 4392 nt
Organism: Equus caballus (horse)
Lineage: Eukaryota; Metazoa; Chordata; Mammalia; Perissodactyla; Equidae
Source: RefSeq, a predicted model, not a curated record
GCACGCGAACUUAACCACUUGGCCAUGGGGCAGCCCCUCACGCCUUUUUUUUUUUUAAAUCAUUCUAACUUGAUAUUCAAUUUUAUUAUCUGGCAUGGCAAAACACUCUUGUUAUUCUCCUUCAAACCUGUCUGUCCUCUUUUUCCCACUUGAAUUUCAGACAUCUGAUUGAGUCUCCUCUAUAUUCCUCUGACUCAUCUCAAAAAAACCCCGAAAAAUUGACUUGGUGUUUUGAUUAAAAUUUGUAGUAAACCUAAAAAUUAGUUUGAGGGAUAAAUGAUUGGUUUACAAUAUGCAGUCUUUCCAUUUGAGAACAUGGAAUUAAAAAAAAAUGUUUACUAGUAAAGUUUUAUGAUUGUCUUCAUAAAGAUUCUGCAUGUUUCUUCUUAAAUAUUCCUUGCCUAGUUUAUAAUUUUUGUUGCUACUCUCAGUAGGAUUUUCUUCCUUUCUAUUUUCUACCAGGAUAUUAUUGGCAUAGGAAAGUUAUUGAUUUUAAAAUAAUUUUUGGUAAUUCAGAAAAUACACUGAACUCUUUUUUGGGAUAUCUAAAUAACUAAACAUGUAAAUAAUGAUUUUUUUUCUACUUUCUAAUGCAUCUCUUAUUUCACUUUUGGGUCCAACUAUACGGGCUGGAAGUUUCAGAACAAUUUAAAUAGUGGUGAUGGUAUUACUGUCUUGUUACUUAAUAUAAUGAGAAUGCCAAGUGUGUUUCAUGGUGACGAAGUCCCUUUCUCAGGGGGAUGGUGGACAGGGCAGUGAGAAUAGGUUAACAGGUUCUUGGAAAUGCAAGUACUUUACUUUAAUGCUUUCAGGAGAGUUAAAGCCUGGUCCCAGUGGAGACAGUUUCUCCCCAUCAAACAGGAAGAACGGCUCUUCCUUCUUUUCAAAUUCCCCAAAAGGCAAAAGGAACCUCUAGCCAUAAUUUUUUCUAUCUACCAAGCAUCCAAUCAAACAUUAGUCAUCCAGGCUACAGUGAAGUUUACAACCCUUGGUAAAGUCAAAGGCUUCACCAAACCCUUACUGCCUACUUAUAGGCUCGUGGUUUUGACCACUUCCUUCCCUUAUUAUCAUCCAGCAAUUUAUUCUCCGUUGUUCCCCAGCAGGAAGUCCAGCACUAUCAUUUGCACACAUUCUAUCAGCAUGUGUGGAUUAAACCUGUUCCCUACCACAGACAGGACCGAGAAGCCUCGGGUACGGUACAGGUCAUCCCGUGCAAAACACCCAAUUCAGAAGAUCACCCCUUUGGGCUCAGAGUGUGUGGGGCAUGUGAGCACUCUACAUCCACGAGACAGGAUGACCAUACAUCCCAUUUUGUCCAGGACAGUCCCCAUUUAUGACUUUCCCCAUCAUGAAAUCAUUAACAACACUCUUUCACAUGCAUAAGGUUCCCGGUUGGGAUCAUACCAUAUUAUAUGCUCACUUUACCAGUACAAUGAACUAGUUUUCACUGCCUGGGAGCUUAAGACGGCCCUCAGAACUGGGGGAAAUGUAUAUUUAGAAUGUAUCUGAUGCAUUUAAUAUAUAUUCAAAGAAAAAUGGUGUGUUUGUGUGGGAUGCUGGUUGUUCAUUUAAGUUUUUUUUUUUAAUGAUAGAGAAGAGUUUUCUAGUACUGAUUUAUCAAGUUGUCUUUUUUUUUUUUUUAAAGACAUAGGUGUUUCCCUUUUAAGAUACCUUUUUAGCAUCUGAAAUACUGACAAACUGAUGUGGUAAAUUUCAUUAAUAAAUCUAACAUUAAAUCACUCUUGCACUGCUAGAACUCAUUUUCACUUGAUAAUGAUGUGUUUUUACUUUGACACAUUGUUGAAUUUGAUUUGCUAUAAUUUAUCCUAAAAUACUUUAAUCUAGUUCUAAGGGAUACCUUUUCUUGUGUUUUGGUAUAAGGAUUAUGCUGGUUUAUUUGAUACAAUAAACUGAAAAACUCUUAGUAUUUUUCUGUGUUCAGAAAGUUUCAAUAGCACAGAAGUUUUCUGUGCCUUCAAAGUCUGAAACACUUGCCAAUGAAACUAUGUGAGCAUGGAAGUUUUUUUGAAACUAUUUUUUUAUUAAUUUUUUUUCAAUUAUUAUCAAGCUAUUCAGGCUUUCACUUACUGAGUUAAUUUUGGAAAUUUGUGACUUAGAAUUAACUACCAUAAGUUAUACAGUGUAUUUUCUUAUGAUUUUUUAAAAUCAUGUUUUAUCUGUAACAUAACUGUUAUUCUUCUUAAUUUGGUAAAUCUGUGAUUUUUAUCCUUUUUUUUCCAGGUUAAGUUUACCAGAGAGUUAGGGAACCAUGUCUUAGAGUAUUUGAAUUUUUCUAUUUUCUAAUAGUUUUCUAUUAUAAAAUUUUCUAGAUAUUUUUUCAUUCAACAAAUAUUUAUUGAGCACCUACUGUGUGUCAUGCACUCUUCUAGAUGCUAGUGAUACACCGGGGUAAACAAAACUGGCAAAAAUCCUCGUCUCUGUGGAGCUUAUAUUCUUAUAAAGCAGACAACAAGCAUGACAAAUAAAUAAAUAAGUAUGUUACAUCAUGAUAAAGCAGGGAAAGGAGGUGGGGGUGACACGUCAGGAUGUCCAGGGAAGGCUUUACUGAGAAGCCAAUAUUUACUGAAGAGGUGAAGGAGGGGCAGCAAUGAGCUGUGCGUGACCUCGUGACCUCGGCUACUGGGAAGGAGAGGGCUUGAGAGGGAGGGGGCAGCAGGGUGACAGCCCCUGAGGAGGACAUGUGCCAGGGACAGCUAGGAGGCCAGCGUGGCCACACAGAGUGAGUGGAGGCAAGCUCACAGGGGAGAGGGAGGCAGGAUGAGUAACAAGGCAAUCACAGGUCCACGGUCCCCUGUUGGCUUUUAUGAGCCCCUUAGGACAGCUGUUUUUCAGAAUUUAGAAAGGUAAUAUGUUGUGUAUUAAGUCAAACUCCGCUGGGGCUGGGGUAGCACCCUGUAAUCAAACACAAUAAUAUUUCUUCAGUGAAACAAAGAGUCAUACUAAGUGGGAUAAAGAAAGACUAUAAUAGGCCUCUUGUUCCCAGUAAUUCUGCCACAAAAUAAGUCUGCACUAAAUUUAGGGGAAUAAAUGAUUUUCAGAACUUUGUGGAUUUCAGAAUCGCAGCUAAAGGAUUGUGGACGGACUCCAGGCGAGAUCAUGGGGACCCUGCUGGCUCGAGGAGAGGCUUCAGCUUUACUCUGUAUUUCUGCUUUUCUAAUUACCAUCUCCUUCCUCUCAAACCAAAAUGGAGUAACAGUGAUCACGUUUACCCUCAUGCUAAAAAACUGAAAAUAAAAUGGACAAAAUAUAAACAUAGUUCUAAAGACAUUGGGUAUCGGUCAACAAAGGAGAGUGGUCCCCAAGAGACAAGAAACAAAUGAGGUAAGCCCUACAAUUGCCCCAUCUUACUACCUGGAGAAAGUUUACAGGUCAUGGUGCAGGAAGAAGAACCCAGAGGAAGCCCAUUGACAUCCCUCAGUUGAGGAGACAAAGCUGGGAAUCCAAGGAGCCCAAGGCAGCUGGAGUUUACAGGCCAGAGCACCAGCGAGGACAAUGCCUGACAGAGAGAAAACUGAGGAGAGAUGAUGAGGGGCCCCUCAAGUGUUCAGCUGAGUACUGAUCAGCACAGGGGUGGUAGGAAACUACUCAAGCAGGGAGAGAAACACCCAAAAGGGCUAAAGGAAACAAACUUUGAUGCUACACAGGGCCAAGAAUAAUGCCUGUUCCCACCAGCAAGAGGGAAAACCUCAUAAUUCAUUGGGAAGAGAGAUCGUAAGGGUUUUUCUUUACCAGUGGGGCAAACUUAGGCAUGCACAAAGUGGUGGUCCCACCUUACAAAACUUAAAUGCAAUACCUGAAAGGAUCAAACUGUUUCUAAGUAACUUAACAAUUGCCCCAGAACAAAGCCAAGUAAUAUUUAUAAGAAUACAAAAUUAUCCGGCACCCAAGAAGGUAAAAUUCGCAAUGUCUGGAAUCUAAUGAAAAUCAGACAUGCAAAAAAGAAAAUAUGACCCAUAAUCAGGAAGAAAAUCAAUCAGUUGAAACAAACCCAGCAAAUGUCACAGACAACAGAAUUAAUAGACAAGGACAUGGCAAUGUCUGAGAUAAAAAGUAUACUGUAUGAGUUUAAUGGCAGAUUAGACACUGCAGUAGAAAAGAGUAGUGAGCUUGAAGACAUAGCAAUAGAAUCUAUCUAAAUGAAAUACAGAGAGAAAAGACUGAAAAAUACAAUGAACAGAGCAUUAGUGAGCUACAGGAACACUUCAAGCGGCUUAACGUGUAUUUGGAGUCCCCAAAGGAGAGAAGAGGAGAUAAAAAAAUAUUUGAAUGAUAAUGACUGAAAAAUUUCCCAAUGAUGAAAACUAAAACCCACAGAUGCAAACACAAGAAAUAUGAAGAAAACCAUACAAAGAUACAUCAUAAUCAAGUUGC